GACCUGCGCGCCACCGCUGCGAGCGGCCGAGUCCCCGACCCCGGCGGGCCUGCGCGGGGGGGCGGGGACCCGGAGGGCCCCGCGGGGGGACGACAAGUCUGCUUCCGCCCGGCCUCCGCCCGCUCCGGCUGGAACGAGUCUUUCCGGUGGGGCUACCCAGCCCGGGCCGCCGCGCCCAGCCUCCCGGAACCCGCCCCGAGCGGUGCGCGACCCCGCCCAGGCCCAGGGCGAGACCAGGCCGAAAGGUGGAGCCCCCGGAGGGAGAGGCGGGAGAACCUGGGUCCUGGGUCCCAGGCGCGGCGGCGGGCUCCCUGGGCCUUUUCAGCCCCCCGGUCUGACGUCGGAUCCCGUGUGGCCCCAGGAGCACCCUAACAGAGCGUUCUGGAAACGCUUCCUCAGUGAGUCUGCAAAUCAAAGCUCCGGUCCAACCUUAUUACUUUACCUGGGGAGACUGAGGCACAAACAGAUUGUACCAAGGCCGCUGUAUGAGUUAGCAAACCGUAAGGGAGCCUAUGGAAAGCCUAGGAAGAGCUACCGGACAGAGGCCGGGAUCUUCCCCCAGUCCUGAGUCCUGGGGUGUCUGGCCUAGACAAGAAGGGCCAGGUGACCCAGGAGGGGCUGCGUGCGCGCUGCCGGGACAGCUCCACGGGAGGGACAGAGCCACAUCUCAGCGAGGGUCCCGGCCUCACGAAAUUAAUGAGAAUGAUGCCUUUUUGUCCUCAACCGAAGAGUAGAGAUUCCGUUUAAACCUCUGCAGACAGCAAGACAGGGACCACUCUCCCUCCCAGCCUGGCGCCAGCAUGGACCCCAGGGCAUGUUAACAGGAGCCAGGAAUUGGAGGGGAAACAUCCUUCAUUUCCUCAGCGGUGGAACUAGUGAGGUCUCUGAUUGCCAGGAUCUGGUUUUUCAAAAUAACAUCAUGCGAAGACCCAGGAGUGGGGGUGCCCUGGAGGAUUCUUUUAUCUGUUCAACCUUGAGUCAGACUUGCGAUGAGCAUUUGAUCGAGAAACUUGGUCAGUUUCUCAAAAUGCAAAAUCAAUCGCCGAUUUUACUUUUUUACUUGGCAUUUCCUUGGGAUAUUCCCAGUUCUGGGAAUGGAAGAUUAUAUAAACUAUUGUCUUACAUUCUGUCCCGAUUAGCCUCCUUCCUCAAUUCAGGAUUUCCCUGGAGCCGGAUCGUGGCAGCUUCAGGAUUAUGACUUUUUAAAACAUAUAUAAUUUUGAUGAAUUUGUAUCUGUUCCCCAAAUUAGAAACUCCUUUAAUUAUAGGAGAAAACAUUUUCAAAGAGAAAGGGUAGACCUUUAGCGCAAGCCCUGGAGCAAAUGCUUCUAAAGAAAAUCUCAGGGCAGGCAGGUCUUCAGCCGAGUGGUGAGGGAAGAAGCAAGCAUGUCUUUUCUGCAGCUGUCAGGCCUCCCAUCUUCCAGUUAAUUCUUGGCUAGAAAGUAAAGAAAAAAUGAAGGUUUGCUUAAAAUUGUUCACGCCCCUACUUAGGAUUUUAACUUGAGAGAAAGCGUGGUCUUGGUGAAACAGUUUUAAAACUAAUCUUGGGUGGCAGAUGAGGGGAAUUUUCUCCUUUUAAAAGCAUUUCCGGCUCAUAAGCGAAGAGAAAGAAUGGCAGAUAGAACAUUUGCCGUUUUGCAUCCCUAACGAAUGAACAGAUCUAGGCAGGAUAAGCCCUGGCUACUGACAACUUGAGAGAACCUGGGAGGUGCCUGGGUGGCUCAGUCAAUGGAGCAUCUGACUCUUGAUUUUGGCUCAGGUCAUGAUCCCACGGUCUCGCUGGGCUCUGUGCUGAGGGUGGAGCCUGCUUAGGAUUCUCUCCCUCUCUCCCUCUCCCUCCCUCCAUCAAGAUACUCCCCUGCUUGUGCUCUCUCUCCCUAAAAUUAGAGAGAGAGAGAGAGAGAAGGAGAGAGAACUUGACAUGAUGUGCCUUCUAAUGGAAAAACUCAGCACCGAUUGUGUAGUAUUGACGUUCCACACGCUCCUGUCCCCACACACAAAUCAAACCCGCAGCUGAUCCAGCCUCAAGUAGAUCAACGACCAGCUUACGUGAAACACCAAGUACAGGGAUCCUGUUAAACAAUACUAUGGGAACAGAAUCACAGGUAUCCAGAUCAUGUGACACUAUGGGACAAGUGACCGACUUCUUCAAUAAUUAAUUUGUAUUCAAAUUUGAGAACUGGCAUUGAAAACUGACUGAACUGUCUGGCCUGGAGCACGGGACAACUGGCCCAUGGCUUGCUCUGUGACUUUGCAUACCCUGGUUCUCACUUAUCCAUUUAGGAAACAUGGAGGGCUUUCUGUCUGCUUGAGCUUCUGAAACUGUGGAGCUCACACUCUAGGUUAGAAAAUGAUAAGGAAGGAUGCUUCCAGAUGGAGGUGGGGAAGCCUUUGCAAAAGAAGUGGUGUUUGAUAUGAGUCCUGACAGAUGGGAAGGAGUUCCCUGGGUGGUGUCGGUUCAUCUUCUGUAAGAUAAGAUGGUUAGACUGGAUCUACAAGGAUCUACUUAGUCCUAAUAGAUUCUGUGAUUAUAACCUGCCUAUAACCAUUUCCCCCUGCCCCCGUGUGUGUCCCUCCAGGGAGUUGAGAGACCCCCCCCCCCCCAUGGACUUCCUGCCAUCAUCCUUUAUUUUGUUAGCCAAAGCAAUCCAACUUGAGCUGGUGGCCUUGAAUCUCUCAAUUGUGUUUGGAGACCAAAGCAUUAUCACAUUAGCCAGUCCAUAACCUUCUUAGGGAGUGGUCUCUCAGGCUCGCAGAUUUAUUUCCAUCCAUCUAGUUCCCAAGGCAUUUCGCUUAAGUAACCUUAGCUUUACAUUUGCUGGCAGUUAUGCCCAGCGUUGGUAAUAAAGAUCAUUUGCUUAUCAAAA
This is a long non-coding RNA of Felis catus (domestic cat), 2867 nucleotides long. RefSeq lists it as uncharacterized. The transcript is spliced from 2 exons. NCBI's taxonomy places the organism in Eukaryota, Metazoa, Chordata, Mammalia, Carnivora, Felidae. The record is from RefSeq and is a predicted model, not a curated record.